Long non-coding RNA from Bactrocera latifrons, 918 nucleotides. RefSeq lists it as uncharacterized. The record is from RefSeq and is a predicted model, not a curated record. The transcript has 4 exons. NCBI's taxonomy places the organism in Eukaryota, Metazoa, Arthropoda, Insecta, Diptera, Tephritidae.
UGUCAAAGUAGCAAAAUAAAGAAAAUAAUAAUAAUUUGUUCGUUAAAACUGUGUGAAAUAAUUUAAACAUGAAUUCUGUGGCAUUGUGGGAUCAUUAUUAUAUAAUUCGGACAUUACAUCUCUAGGCGAUAAAAGCGCGCAUUUUUAUAUGUUUUUGACAACAUAGAGAUAGAAAUUGUAAAACUGUCAACAACCUUGAGGUCCCUCGCACAAGGCGGGUAUCAACACUCGGUCGGCCAAGAUAGGCAUUCAGGGCUAGCCCAACAAUCGAUGCAUCUUGGAAGUGUGCGAUCCCAUCGAGAAAAAAAAGCAUAUCGUGUUUCCCUUGACCAUUGAGGAAAAAAUUGAAGCAAAUAGAACCUUUUACGUGACGUCCGAAAUUCCAGGCGUAAUUGGAGCGAUUGAUGGGACGCAUAUCCAGUUGAUGCGACCAUCACGGAAUGAACACUUUUUUUUAAUCGGAAACUAAAACACAGCAUAAAUGCAAUGGUGUGGCAUGAAUUCCACGUAUGGAACCUCUCAGGAGAACGUGAAAGUUUGAGGACGAACUACGAAAAUGGAAAUAGAAGCGAACGAAUUCUUGAAGACUCCGGAUAUCCUCUUGAACCUUGGCUGCUAACACCAUAUAGGAAAGCGCCAGAACGUUCCGAUGAACUCUAUUUCAACCAACAGUUUACAAAAGGCUGAUCACUAAUUGAACGCGUGUUUAGUGUAUUGAAAGGGAGAUUUCGAUGCCUGUUAUCUGCAAAGAGCUACAUUACGCGCCUGAAAAGGUCCUUAAAAUUUUGAACGUAUGCUGCGCUCUACACAAUAUAUGCAUUUUGUACAAGGUUGAAGUACCAAUUAAUAUUACACUUGAGCCAGAAGAAUUUUCCACCACUAAUAUAGAUUUACCUAAUAGUGGUAAUUUUAUUACUA